Molecule: ribosomal RNA, 2908 nt
Filed under: Salmonella enterica subsp. enterica serovar Dublin
Lineage: Bacteria; Pseudomonadati; Pseudomonadota; Gammaproteobacteria; Enterobacterales; Enterobacteriaceae
Also listed under: 2 other names
Description: 23S ribosomal RNA
Rfam family: Bacterial large subunit ribosomal RNA
Source: RNAcentral
GGUUAAGCGACUAAGCGUACACGGUGGAUGCCCUGGCAGUCAGAGGCGAUGAAGGGCGUGCUAAUCUGCGAUAAGCGCCGGUAAGGUGAUAUGAACCGUUAUAACCGGCGAUACCCGAAUGGGGAAACCCAGUGUGAUUCGUCACACUAUCAUUAACUGAAUCCAUAGGUUAAUGAGGCGAACCGGGGGAACUGAAACAUCUAAGUACCCCGAGGAAAAGAAAUCAACCGAGAUUCCCCCAGUAGCGGCGAGCGAACGGGGAGGAGCCCAGAGCCUGAAUCAGCAUGUGUGUUAGUGGAAGCGUCUGGAAAGGCGCGCGAUACAGGGUGACAGCCCCGUACACAAAAGCGCAUGUGCUGUGAGCUCGAUGAGUAGGGCGGGACACGUGGUAUCCUGUCUGAAUAUGGGGGGACCAUCCUCCAAGGCUAAAUACUCCUGACUGACCGAUAGUGAACCAGUACCGUGAGGGAAAGGCGAAAAGAACCCCGGCGAGGGGAGUGAAAAAGAACCUGAAACCGUGUACGUACAAGCAGUGGGAGCACAGGUUUACCUGUGUGACUGCGUACCUUUUGUAUAAUGGGUCAGCGACUUAUAUUCUGUAGCAAGGUUAACCGAAUAGGGGAGCCGGAGGGAAACCGAGUCUUAAUUGGGCGUUAAGUUGCAGGGUAUAGACCCGAAACCCGGUGAUCUAGCCAUGGGCAGGUUGAAGGUUGGGUAACACUAACUGGAGGACCGAACCGACUAAUGUUGAAAAAUUAGCGGAUGACCUGUGGCUGGGGGUGAAAGGCCAAUCAAACCGGGAGAUAGCUGGUUCUCCCCGAAAGCUAUUUAGGUAGCGCCUCGUGAAUUCAUCUCCGGGGGUAGAGCACUGUUUCGGCUAGGGGGCCAUCCCGGCUUACCAACCCGAUGCAAACUGCGAAUACCGGAGAAUGUUAUCACGGGAGACACACGGCGGGUGCUAACGUCCGUCGUGAAGAGGGAAACAACCCAGACCGCCAGCUAAGGUCCCAAAGUCAUGGUUAAGUGGGAAACGAUGUGGGAAGGCCCAGACAGCCAGGAUGUUGGCUUAGAAGCAGCCAUCAUUUAAAGAAAGCGUAAUAGCUCACUGGUCGAGUCGGCCUGCGCGGAAGAUGUAACGGGGCUAAACCAUGCACCGAAGCUGCGGCAGCGACGCUUAUGCGUUGUUGGGUAGGGGAGCGUUCUGUAAGCCUGUGAAGGUGGCCUGUGAGGGUUGCUGGAGGUAUCAGAAGUGCGAAUGCUGACAUAAGUAACGAUAAAGCGGGUGAAAAGCCCGCUCGCCGGAAGACCAAGGGUUCCUGUCCAACGUUAAUCGGGGCAGGGUGAGUCGACCCCUAAGGCGAGGCCGAAAGGCGUAGUCGAUGGGAAACGGGUUAAUAUUCCCGUACUUGGUGUUACUGCGAAGGGGGGACGGAGAAGGCUAUGUUGGCCGGGCGACGGUUGUCCCGGUUUAAGCGUGUAGGUGUGUGUUCCAGGUAAAUCCGGUUCACUUUAACACUGAGGCGUGAUGACGAGGCACUACGGUGCUGAAGUAACAAAUGCCCUGCUUCCAGGAAAAGCCUCUAAGCAUCAGGUAACAUCAAAUCGUACCCCAAACCGACACAGGUGGUCAGGUAGAGAAUACCAAGGCGCUUGAGAGAACUCGGGUGAAGGAACUAGGCAAAAUGGUGCCGUAACUUCGGGAGAAGGCACGCUGACACGUAGGUGAAGUGAUUUACUCAUGGAGCUGAAGUCAGUCGAAGAUACCAGCUGGCUGCAACUGUUUAUUAAAAACACAGCACUGUGCAAACACGAAAGUGGACGUAUACGGUGUGACGCCUGCCCGGUGCCGGAAGGUUAAUUGAUGGGGUCAGCGCAAGCGAAGCUCCUGAUCGAAGCCCCGGUAAACGGCGGCCGUAACUAUAACGGUCCUAAGGUAGCGAAAUUCCUUGUCGGGUAAGUUCCGACCUGCACGAAUGGCGUAAUGAUGGCCAGGCUGUCUCCACCCGAGACUCAGUGAAAUUGAACUCGCUGUGAAGAUGCAGUGUACCCGCGGCAAGACGGAAAGACCCCGUGAACCUUUACUAUAGCUUGACACUGAACAUUGAGCCUUGAUGUGUAGGAUAGGUGGGAGGCUUUGAAGCGUGGACGCCAGUCUGCGUGGAGCCGACCUUGAAAUACCACCCUUUAAUGUUUGAUGUUCUAACGUGGACCCGUGAUCCGGGUUGCGGACAGUGUCUGGUGGGUAGUUUGACUGGGGCGGUCUCCUCCUAAAGAGUAACGGAGGAGCACGAAGGUUGGCUAAUCCUGGUCGGACAUCAGGAGGUUAGUGCAAUGGCAUAAGCCAGCUUGACUGCGAGCGUGACGGCGCGAGCAGGUGCGAAAGCAGGUCAUAGUGAUCCGGUGGUUCUGAAUGGAAGGGCCAUCGCUCAACGGAUAAAAGGUACUCCGGGGAUAACAGGCUGAUACCGCCCAAGAGUUCAUAUCGACGGCGGUGUUUGGCACCUCGAUGUCGGCUCAUCACAUCCUGGGGCUGAAGUAGGUCCCAAGGGUAUGGCUGUUCGCCAUUUAAAGUGGUACGCGAGCUGGGUUUAGAACGUCGUGAGACAGUUCGGUCCCUAUCUGCCGUGGGCGCUGGAGAACUGAGGGGGGCUGCUCCUAGUACGAGAGGACCGGAGUGGACGCAUCACUGGUGUUCGGGUUGUCAUGCCAAUGGCACUGCCCGGUAGCUAAAUGCGGAAGAGAUAAGUGCUGAAAGCAUCUAAGCACGAAACUUGCCCCGAGAUGAGUUCUCCCUGAGACUUAGAGUCUCCUGAAGGAACGUUGAAGACGACGACGUUGAUAGGCCGGGUGUGUAAGCGCAGCGAUGCGUUGAGCUAACCGGUACUAAUGAACCGUGAGGCUUAACCUU